UGACUUCCUUUAAACUUCUUA
This is a non-coding RNA of Caenorhabditis elegans, 21 nucleotides long. NCBI's taxonomy places the organism in Eukaryota, Metazoa, Nematoda, Chromadorea, Rhabditida, Rhabditidae. The record is from Ensembl.